Molecule: ribosomal RNA, 119 nt
Filed under: Pteropus alecto (black flying fox)
Lineage: Eukaryota; Metazoa; Chordata; Mammalia; Chiroptera; Pteropodidae
Source: RNAcentral
GUCUAUGGCCAUGUUACCCUGAACAAGCCCAAUCCUGUCUGAUCUCGGAAGCUAAGCAGGGUUGGGCCUGGUUAGUACUUGGAUGGGAGAUCACCUAGGAAGACCAGGUGCUGUAGGCA